RNAcentral lists this ribosomal RNA (440 nucleotides) under uncultured bacterium. RNAcentral's name for it is "partial 16S ribosomal RNA". It matches the Rfam family "Bacterial small subunit ribosomal RNA", at positions 338 to 795 of the family's 1533-position model. The record is from RNAcentral.
CCUACGGGAGGCAGCAGUGGGGAAUAUUGCACAAUGGGGGAAACCCUGAUGCAGCGACGCCGCGUGAGUGAAGAAGUAAUUCGUUAUGUAAAGCUCUAUCAGCAGGGAAGAAAAUGACGGUACCUGAGUAAGAAGCCCCGGCUAACUACGUGCCAGCAGCCGGGGUAAUACGUAGGGGGCAAGCGUUAUCCGGAUUUACUGGGUGGAAAGGGAGCGUAGACGGCAGUGCAAGUCUGGAGUGAAAGGCGGGGGCUCAACCCCCGGAAUGCGCUGGAAACUGUACGGCUGGAGUGCAGGAGAGGGAAGUGGAAUUCCUAGUGUAGCGGUGAAAUGCGUAGAUAUUAGGAGGAACACCAGUGGCGAAGGCGGCUUACUGGACUGUAACUGACGUUGAGGCUCGAAAGCGUGGGGAGCAAACAGGAUUAGAUACCCUAGUAGUC